AUACGGAGGGUGCAAGCGUUAUUCGGAAUCACUGGGCGUAAAGGACACGUAGGCGGGAAGCCAAGUCUGAUGUGAAAUCCUAUGGCUCAACCAUAGAACUGCAUUGGAAACUGGUUACCUAGAGUAUGGGAGGGGGAGAUGGAAUUAGUGGUGUAGGGGUAAAAUCCGUAGAUAUCACUAGGAAUACCUAAAGCGAAGGCGAUCUCCUGGAACAUUACUGACGCUAAGGUGUGAAAGCGUGGGGAGCAAACGGGAUUAGAUACCCCAGUAGUCC
RNAcentral lists this ribosomal RNA (274 nucleotides) under uncultured bacterium. RNAcentral's name for it is "partial 16S ribosomal RNA". It matches the Rfam family "Bacterial small subunit ribosomal RNA", at positions 523 to 796 of the family's 1533-position model. The record is from RNAcentral.